Molecule: unclassified non-coding RNA, 1365 nt
Filed under: Polistes canadensis
Lineage: Eukaryota; Metazoa; Arthropoda; Insecta; Hymenoptera; Vespidae
Description: lIM domain only protein 3-like, transcript variant X1
Source: RNAcentral
ACAAAUUUCUACCUUUUUUCGUGUCCACUCACACCACACCACACGUCCACUCUUUUUCGCUAUUACACCGGAAGUACAUAUAUAUAUUUUUCUAUAUUUAUGAAUCGUUAAAAAUCGUAUAAUACGUUUGCGCGAAUGAUGAUUAUAACUUUGGUACGUAAUGACGCGAAUAUAACAUGCUCGCGGAACAGUUUUCGCGGCCGUUUUGGGCCAAUAAAUGAAAUUAUCGGUAAUAUCAUCGAAAUUAGAAAAUGAGGGGCUUGCUGCUACAUGGGAACCACCCACAACCACCACCACCAGCAGUAACAGUAGCAGCAACAGUAGUAGGACGAGGACCGGUGGGGGAUGAUGAUAGCCGAAAAAUCGAGUGAAUCUCCGAGGUGGAACCAUCGGAGAUUAGAAAAAAUGAUGAUGGACGUGAGCAAAAAUGAGCCCAGUAGUAAAAACGGUGCGACUCAACAGGAAUGCGCUGGAUGUGGGAAAACAAUAACCGAAAGAUAUUUAUUAAAAGCGUUGGACCUGUACUGGCACGAAGAUUGUUUGAAGUGUGGUUGCUGCGAUUGCAGAUUGGGAGAAGUCGGUUCUACGCUUUACACAAAAGCCAAUCUAAUUCUUUGCAAAAGAGAUUAUCUGAGGCUUUUUGGGAACACCGGUUACUGUGCGGCAUGUAACAAAGUCAUACCGGCUUUCGAAAUGGUCAUGAGAGCAAGAACAAACGUUUAUCAUCUGGAAUGUUUUUCCUGUCAGGAAUGCGAUCACAAAUUUUGCGUGGGCGAUCAAUUUUAUCUCUACGAGAAUAAAAUUCUUUGCGAGUAUCAUUAUAAGGAAAGAGUUUAUUUCGCCAACAUGCCACAUCCGCCACCGAACGAUACCCUAGCACAUAUUAAAAGACAAGUCACGCACCUUCAACCUCAAGGAGGUCGAAGGUCGUGAAUAGGUAACACACACUGGAAUCAUACGCAUGCACGAAGUAACGAGGUCUCUGUAAGCCGAUGAUAUCAGCAGUCUCGACGGUAUCUGCCGGAGGUCCUCCGAGACAGGCGAAUGGGGAAACAGCCCAUAACCACAAUGGAUAUCCAGCACCGGCUACAUCCAGCGCUCACAACGUCCUCAACCCCAUGAAUAAUUUAAAUGGUAUCAAUGCGCAAGCACCGUACGAUGCCAAAUGACAAACGAAAUAAGCGCCGAUAUACACGCGUCUACCUACGCCUACUAUUAUUACUACUACUACCACUACUACUAUUUCUUAUACUACUACUACUAAUACUACUACUAUUAGUACUGCUGCAUACAAUUUAACACCUACAUUUCUUAACAUACGGAAAUAAUAAAACAUACAAAAUGACACGUACACGCACAAAAACG